This 67-nucleotide transfer RNA is filed under the name Phloiophilus edwardsi. Its description in RNAcentral is "tRNA-Ser". Lineage: Eukaryota; Metazoa; Arthropoda; Insecta; Coleoptera; Phloiophilidae. The record is from RNAcentral.
AAUUUAUGAACUUGUACUUAAGUAUAUAUUUUGAAAAUAUAAUAAAGAAUUAAACUUCUAUAAAUUU